Molecule: ribosomal RNA, 433 nt
Filed under: uncultured bacterium
Lineage: Bacteria
Description: partial 16S ribosomal RNA
Rfam family: Bacterial small subunit ribosomal RNA
Source: RNAcentral
AACGAACGCUGGCGGCAUGCCUAACACAUGCAAGUCGAACGAGACCUUCGUGUCUAUGGGCGCACGUGUGCUGAACGCGGGGUAACCUGCCCUUAGGUUCGGAAUAACUCCCCGAAAGAUGUGCUAAUACCGGAGAAUGUCUUCCGACCAAAGAUCUAUCGCCUUUGGAUGGGCCCGCGUUGGAUUAGCUGGUUGGUAGUGUAAAAGCCUACCAAGGCCACGAUCCAUAGCUGGUCUGUGAGGAUGAUCAGCCACACUGGGACUGCGACACGGCCCAGACUCCUACGGGAGGCAGCAGUGGGGAAUAUUGGACAAUGGGCGAAAGCCUGAUACAGCCAUGCGGCGUGAGUGAUGAAGGCCUUAGGGUUGUAAAGCUCUUUUACCCGGGAUGAUAAUGACAGUACCGGGAGAAUAAGCUCCGGCUAACUACGUG